This 256-nucleotide ribosomal RNA is filed under the name uncultured bacterium. RNAcentral describes it as "partial 16S ribosomal RNA". It matches the Rfam family "Bacterial small subunit ribosomal RNA", at positions 524 to 777 of the family's 1533-position model. The record is from RNAcentral.
UACGAAGGGGUGCAAACGUUGCUCGGAAUUAUUGGGCGUAAAGCGCACGUAGGCGGUUUGUUAAGUGAGAGGUGAAAUCCCAGAGCUCAACUCUGGAACUGCCUUUCAUACUGGCAAGCUAGAGUCCGGAAGAGGUAAGUGGAACUCCUAGUGUAGAGGUGGAAUUCGUAGAUAUUAGGAAGAACACCAGUGGCGAAGGCGGCUUACUGGUCCGGAACCUGACGCUGAGGUGCGAAAGCGUGGGGAGCAAACAGGG